RNAcentral lists this transfer RNA (78 nucleotides) under Dysgonomonas sp. Its description in RNAcentral is "tRNA-Arg". It matches the Rfam family "tRNA", at positions 14 to 71 of the family's 71-position model. From Rfam's summary of the family: Transfer RNA (tRNA) molecules are approximately 80 nucleotides in length. Their secondary structure includes four short double-helical elements and three loops (D, anti-codon, and T loops). Further hydrogen bonds mediate the characteristic L-shaped molecular structure. tRNAs have two regions of fundamental functional importance: the anti-codon, which is responsible for specific mRNA codon recognition, and the 3' end, to which the tRNAs corresponding amino acid is attached (by aminoacyl-tRNA synthetases). tRNAs cope with the degeneracy of the genetic code in two manners: having more than one tRNA (with a specific anti-codon) for a particular amino acid; and 'wobble' base-pairing, i.e. permitting non-standard base-pairing at the 3rd anti-codon position. Lineage: Bacteria; Pseudomonadati; Bacteroidota; Bacteroidia; Bacteroidales; Dysgonomonadaceae. The record is from RNAcentral.
AAUGCGAAGCAUUGGGAUGCCGAAGAGAGCAACAGCCUUCUAAGCUGUGGGUCGUGGGUUCGAAUCCCGCUCGGAUCA